UACAGAGGCCUCGAGCGUUAGGCGGAAUCACUGGGCUUAAAGCGUGUGUAGGUGGAGUUCUAAGUACCUUGUGAAAUCCCACGGCUCAACCGUGGAACUGCUGGGUAUACUGGUUCUCUUGAGGUACCUAGGGGCGAGCGGAACAAGUGGUGGAGCGGUGAAAUGCGUAGAUAUCACUUGGAACGCCAACGGUGAAAACAGCUCGCUGGGGGUUUGCUGACGCUGAGACACGAAAGCCAGGGGAGCAAACGGG
Molecule: ribosomal RNA, 253 nt
Filed under: uncultured bacterium
Lineage: Bacteria
Description: partial 16S ribosomal RNA
Rfam family: Bacterial small subunit ribosomal RNA
Source: RNAcentral